AGAGUUUGAUCCUGGCUCAGGAUGAACGCUGGCGGCGUGCCUAAUACAUGCAAGUCGAGCGAACGGACGAGAAGCUUGCUUCUCUGAUGUUAGCGGCGGACGGGUGAGUAACACGUGGAUAACCUACCUAUAAGACUGGGAUAACUUCGGGAAACCGGAGCUAAUACCGGAUAAUAUUUUGAACCGCAUGGUUCAAAAGUGAAAGACGGUCUUGCUGUCACUUAUAGAUGGAUCCGCGCUGCAUUAGCUAGUUGGUAAGGUAACGGCUUACCAAGGCAACGAUGCAUAGCCGACCUGAGAGGGUGAUCGGCCACACUGGAACUGAGACACGGUCCAGACUCCUACGGGAGGCAGCAGUAGGGAAUCUUCCGCAAUGGGCGAAAGCCUGACGGAGCAACGCCGCGUGAGUGAUGAAGGUCUUCGGAUCGUAAAACUCUGUUAUUAGGGAAGAACAUAUGUGUAAGUAACUGUGCACAUCUUGACGGUACCUAAUCAGAAAGCCACGGCUAACUACGUGCCAGCAGCCGCGGUAAUACGUAGGUGGCAAGCGUUAUCCGGAAUUAUUGGGCGUAAAGCGCGCGUAGGCGGUUUUUUAAGUCUGAUGUGAAAGCCCACGGCUCAACCGUGGAGGGUCAUUGGAAACUGGAAAACUUGAGUGCAGAAGAGGAAAGUGGAAUUCCAUGUGUAGCGGUGAAAUGCGCAGAGAUAUGGAGGAACACCAGUGGCGAAGGCGACUUUCUGGUCUGUAACUGACGCUGAUGUGCGAAAGCGUGGGGAUCAAACAGGAUUAGAUACCCUGGUAGUCCACGCCGUAAACGAUGAGUGCUAAGUGUUAGGGGGUUUCCGCCCCUUAGUGCUGCAGCUAACGCAUUAAGCACUCCGCCUGGGGAGUACGACCGCAAGGUUGAAACUCAAAGGAAUUGACGGGGACCCGCACAAGCGGUGGAGCAUGUGGUUUAAUUCGAAGCAACGCGAAGAACCUUACCAAAUCUUGACAUCCUUUGACAACUCUAGAGAUAGAGCCUUCCCCUUCGGGGGACAAAGUGACAGGUGGUGCAUGGUUGUCGUCAGCUCGUGUCGUGAGAUGUUGGGUUAAGUCCCGCAACGAGCGCAACCCUUAAGCUUAGUUGCCAUCAUUAAGUUGGGCACUCUAAGUUGACUGCCGGUGACAAACCGGAGGAAGGUG
This 1186-nucleotide ribosomal RNA is filed under the name Staphylococcus aureus. RNAcentral's name for it is "bacterial SSU rRNA". It matches the Rfam family "Bacterial small subunit ribosomal RNA", at positions 8 to 1175 of the family's 1533-position model. The record is from RNAcentral. Lineage: Bacteria; Bacillati; Bacillota; Bacilli; Caryophanales; Staphylococcaceae.